CCUACGGGUGGCAGCAGUGGGGAAUAUUGCACAAUGGGGGAAACCCUGAUGCAGCGACGCCGCGUGAGUGAAGAAGUAUUUCGGUACGUAAAGCUCUAUCAGCAGGGAAGAAAAAAAGUCCUUUGGACUUUGGACGGUACCUGACCAAGAAGCCCCGGCUAACUACGUGCCAGCAGCCGCGGUAAUACGUAGGGGGCAAGCGUUAUCCGGAUUUACUGGGUGUAAAGGGAGCGUAGACGGCAGCGCAAGUCUGGAGUGAAAUGCCGGGGCCCAACCCCGGAACUGCUUUGGAAACUGUGCAGCUGGAGUGCAGGAGAGGUAAGCGGAAUUCCUAGUGUAGCGGUGAAAUGCGUAGAUAUUAGGAGGAACACCAGUGGCGAAGGCGGCCUGCUGGACGGUGACUGACGCUGAGGCUCGAAAGCGUGGGGAGCAAACAGGAUUAGAUACCCCUGUAGUC
This 457-nucleotide ribosomal RNA is filed under the name uncultured bacterium. RNAcentral's name for it is "partial 16S ribosomal RNA". It matches the Rfam family "Bacterial small subunit ribosomal RNA", at positions 338 to 795 of the family's 1533-position model. The record is from RNAcentral.